GACGAACGCUGGCGGCGUGCUUAACACAUGCAAGUCGAACGGAAAGGCCCUGCUUUUGUGGGGUGCUCGAGUGGCGAACGGGUGAGUAACACGUGAGUAACCUGCCCUUGACUUUGGGAUAACUUCAGGAAACUGGGGCUAAUACCGGAUAGGAGCUCCUGCUGCAUGGUGGGGGUUGGAAAGUUUCGGCGGUUGGGGAUGGACUCGCGGCUUAUCAGCUUGUUGGUGGGGUAGUGGCUUACCAAGGCUUUGACGGGUAGCCGGCCUGAGAGGGGGACCGGCCACAUUGGGACUGAGAUACGGCCCAGACUCCUACGGGAGGCAGCAGUGGGGAAUAUUGCACAAUGGGCGGAAGCCUGAUGCAGCAACGCCGCGGGCGGGAUGACGGCCUUCGGGUUGUAAACCGCUUUCGCCUGUGACGAAGCGGGAGUGACGGUAAUGGGUAAAGAAGCACCGGCUAACUACGUG
This 468-nucleotide ribosomal RNA is filed under the name uncultured bacterium. Its description in RNAcentral is "partial 16S ribosomal RNA". It matches the Rfam family "Bacterial small subunit ribosomal RNA", at positions 28 to 507 of the family's 1533-position model. The record is from RNAcentral.